Molecule: ribosomal RNA, 440 nt
Filed under: uncultured bacterium
Lineage: Bacteria
Description: partial 16S ribosomal RNA
Rfam family: Bacterial small subunit ribosomal RNA
Source: RNAcentral
CCUACGGGAGGCUGCAGUAGGGAAUAUUGCUCAAUGGGGGAAACCCUGAAGCAGCAACGCCGCGUGGAGGAUGAAGGUUUUCGGAUUGUAAACUCCUUUUGUUAGAGAAGAUAAUGACGGUAUCUAACGAAUAAGCACCGGCUAACUCCGUGCCAGCAGCCGCGGUAAUACGGAGGGUGCAAGCGUUACUCGGAAUCACUGGGCGUAAGGAGCGCGUAGGCGGGAUAGCAAGUCAGAUGUGAAAUCCUAUGGCUUAACCAUAGAACUGCAUUUGAAACUGUUAUUCUAGAGUAUGGGAGAGGUAGGUUGAAUUCUUGGUGUAGGGGUAAAAUCCGUAGAGAUCAAGAGGAAUACUCAUUGCGAAGGCGACCUGCUAGAACAUAACUGACGCUGAUGCGCGAAAGCGUGGGGAGCAAACAGGAUUAGAUACCCCAGUAGUC